RNAcentral lists this ribosomal RNA (484 nucleotides) under uncultured bacterium. RNAcentral describes it as "partial 16S ribosomal RNA". It matches the Rfam family "Bacterial small subunit ribosomal RNA", at positions 29 to 507 of the family's 1533-position model. The record is from RNAcentral.
AUUGAACGCUGGCGGCAUGCUUUACACAUGCAAGUCGAACGGCAGCGCGGGCUUCGGCCUGGCGGCGAGUGGCGAACGGGUGAGUAAUGCAUCGGAACGUGCCCAGUAGUGGGGGAUAGCCCGGCGAAAGCCGGAUUAAUACCGCAUACGACCUGAGGGUGAAAGCGGGGGACCGAAAGGCCUCGCGCUAUUGGAGCGGCCGAUGUCGGAUUAGCUAGUUGGUGGGGUAAAGGCUUACCAAGGCGACGAUCCGUAGCUGGUCUGAGAGGACGACCAGCCACACUGGGACUGAGACACGGCCCAGACUCCUACGGGAGGCAGCAGUGGGGAAUUUUGGACAAUGGGGGCAAGCCUGAUCCAGCCAUGCCGCGUGCGGGAAGAAGGCCUUCGGGUUGUAAAGCGCUUUUGUUCGGGAAGAAAACCUCUGGGCUAAUACCCCGGGGGGAUGACGGUACCGGAAGAAUAAGCACCGGCUAACUACGUG